RNAcentral lists this ribosomal RNA (623 nucleotides) under fungal endophyte. Its description in RNAcentral is "eukaryotic LSU rRNA". The stretch from base 190 to 343 matches the Rfam family "5.8S ribosomal RNA". The record is from RNAcentral. Lineage: Eukaryota; Fungi.
CGGAGGGUCAUUAAAGAGUUCUAUAACUCCCAAACCCAUGUGAACAUACCUAACGUUGCCUCGGCAGGUCGCACCUACCUUGUAGCACCCUACCCUGUAGGGCCUACCCGGGAGAUGCGGGUAAGCCUGCCGGCGGCCCACCAAACUCUGUUUGAUAUUGAAUUCUGAACAUAUAACUAAAUAAGUUAAAACUUUCAACAACGGAUCUCUUGGUUCUGGCAUCGAUGAAGAACGCAGCGAAAUGCGAUAAGUAAUGUGAAUUGCAGAAUUCAGUGAAUCAUCGAAUCUUUGAACGCAUAUUGCGCCCAUUAGUAUUCUAGUGGGCAGGACCGUUCGAGCGUCAUUUCGACCCUUAAGCCUUAGUUGCUUAGUGUUGGGAGCCUACGGCAACGUAGCUCCUCAAAGUUAGUGGCGGAGUUGGUUCACACUCUAGACGUAGUAAUUUUUUAUCUCGCCUAUUAGUUGGACUGAUCCCCUGCCGUAAAACCCCCAACUUAUCAAGGUUGACCUCGAAUCGGUUCAGACAAACUCGCUAAAUUGAAGCAUCUUAGUCAGCGAAGGAAAAGAAACCAACAGGGAUUGCCCUAGUAACGGCGAGUGAAGCGGCAACAGCUCAAAUUUGA